CCUACGGGAGACAGCAGUGGGGAAUAUUGGGCAAUGGACGCAAGCCUGACCCAGCAACGCCGCGUGAAGGAAGAAGGCUUUCGGGUUGUAAACUCUUUUUAAGGGGGAAGAGCAGAAGACGGUACCCCUUGAAUAAGCCACGGCUCACAACGUGCCAGCAGCCACGGUAAUACGGAGGUGGCCAGCGUUGUCCGGAUUUGCUGGUUGUAAAGGGCGUGCAGCCGGAGAGACCAGUCAGAUGGGAACUCCACGGGCUUAACCCGCGUACUGAAGUUGAAACUGUUUCCCUUGAGUGUCGGAGAGGUAUGCGGAAUGCGUGGUGUAGCGGUGAAAUGCGUAGAUAUAAGGAAGAACACCAGUGGCGAAGGCGGAUUACUGGACGAUAACUGACGGUGAGGCGCGAAAGCGUGGGGAGCAAACAGGAUUAGAUACCCUGGUAGUC
Molecule: ribosomal RNA, 442 nt
Filed under: uncultured bacterium
Lineage: Bacteria
Description: partial 16S ribosomal RNA
Rfam family: Bacterial small subunit ribosomal RNA
Source: RNAcentral